AUUGAACGCUGGCGGCAGGCCUAACACAUGCAAGUCGAGCGAGCGGCGGACGGGUGAGUAAUGUAUGGGGACUGCCCGAUAGAGGGGGAUAACUACUGGAAACGGUGGCUAAUACCGCCUACUAUCGUAUAACCCAUAUGGGAUUAGCUCGUGGGUGGGGUAAAGGCUCACCUAGGCGACGAUCUCUAGCUGGUCUGAGAGGAUGAUCAGCCACACUAGGACUGGGACACAGCCCAGACUCCUACGGAGGCAGCAGUGGGGGAUAGUACACAAUGGGCGCGGGCGUAAUGCAGCCACGCCGCGUGUAUGAAAAAGACCUUAGGGUUGUAAACUCCUUUCACCAUCGACGCGGUACCUGGGGAAGAAGCACCGGCUAACUACGUGCCAGCAGCCGCGGUAAUAC
RNAcentral lists this ribosomal RNA (403 nucleotides) under uncultured bacterium. RNAcentral describes it as "partial 16S ribosomal RNA". It matches the Rfam family "Bacterial small subunit ribosomal RNA", at positions 30 to 526 of the family's 1533-position model. The record is from RNAcentral.